RNAcentral lists this ribosomal RNA (350 nucleotides) under Bacillus pumilus. RNAcentral's name for it is "bacterial SSU rRNA". It matches the Rfam family "Bacterial small subunit ribosomal RNA", at positions 401 to 745 of the family's 1533-position model. Lineage: Bacteria; Bacillati; Bacillota; Bacilli; Caryophanales; Bacillaceae. The record is from RNAcentral.
GAGUGAUGAAGGUUUUCGGAUCGUAAAGCUCUGUUGUUAGGGAAGAACAAGUGCGAGAGUAACUGCUCGCACCUUGACGGUACCUAACCAGAAAGCCACGGCUAACUACGUGCCAGCAGCCGCGGUAAUACGUAGGUGGCAAGCGUUGUCCGGAAUUAUUGGGCGUAAAGGGCUCGCAGGCGGUUUCUUAAGUCUGAUGUGAAAGCCCCCGGCUCAACCGGGGAGGGUCAUUGGAAACUGGGAAACUUGAGUGCAGAAGAGGAGAGUGGAAUUCCACGUGUAGCGGUGAAAUGCGUAGAGAUGUGGAGGAACACCAGUGGCGAAGGCGACUCUCUGGUCUGUAACUGACG